This 986-nucleotide ribosomal RNA is filed under the name metagenome. RNAcentral describes it as "bacterial LSU rRNA". It matches the Rfam family "Bacterial large subunit ribosomal RNA", at positions 1945 to 2925 of the family's 2925-position model. RNAcentral also lists the same sequence under 1 other name. The record is from RNAcentral.
ACGGUCCUAAGGUAGCGAAAUUCCUUGUCGGGUAAGUUCCGACCUGCACGAAUGGCGUAAUGAUGGCCAGGCUGUCUCCACCCGAGACUCAGUGAAAUUGAACUCGCUGUGAAGAUGCAGUGUACCCGCGGCAAGACGGAAAGACCCCGUGAACCUUUACUAUAGCUUGACACUGAACAUUGAGCCUUGAUGUGUAGGAUAGGUGGGAGGCUUAGAAGUGUGGACGCCAGUCUGCAUGGAGCCGACCUUGAAAUACCACCCUUUAAUGUUUGAUGUUCUAACGUUGACCCGUAAUCCGGGUUGCGGACAGUGUCUGGUGGGUAGUUUGACUGGGGCGGUCUCCUCCUAAAGAGUAACGGAGGAGCACGAAGGUUGGCUAAUCCUGGUCGGACAUCAGGAGGUUAGUGCAAUGGCAUAAGCCAGCUUGACUGCGAGCGUGACGGCGCGAGCAGGUGCGAAAGCAGGUCAUAGUGAUCCGGUGGUUCUGAAUGGAAGGGCCAUCGCUCAACGGAUAAAAGGUACUCCGGGGAUAACAGGCUGAUACCGCCCAAGAGUUCAUAUCGACGGCGGUGUUUGGCACCUCGAUGUCGGCUCAUCACAUCCUGGGGCUGAAGUAGGUCCCAAGGGUAUGGCUGUUCGCCAUUUAAAGUGGUACGCGAGCUGGGUUUAGAACGUCGUGAGACAGUUCGGUCCCUAUCUGCCGUGGGCGCUGGAGAACUGAGGGGGGCUGCUCCUAGUACGAGAGGACCGGAGUGGACGCAUCACUGGUGUUCGGGUUGUCAUGCCAAUGGCACUGCCCGGUAGCUAAAUGCGGAAGAGAUAAGUGCUGAAAGCAUCUAAGCACGAAACUUGCCCCGAGAUGAGUUCUCCCUGACUCCUUGAGAGUCCUGAAGGAACGUUGAAGACGACGACGUUGAUAGGCCGGGUGUGUAAGCGCAGCGAUGCGUUGAGCUAACCGGUACUAAUGAACCGUGAGGCUUAACCUU